UCAAACUUGGUCAUUUAGAGGAAGUAAAAGUCGUAACAAGGUCUCCGUUGGUGAACCAGCGGAGGGAUCAUUAGAGAGUCUCGUACUCCCAAACCCACUGUGAACCUUUCAAGUUGCUUCGGCGGGCGGCCCCUCGGGAGGGGCCAGGCCGCCCCGCGUAGGGGUGCCCGCCAGAAGACCAAAACUCUGUUUUUUAUAGUGGCAUUCUGAUUUUUUUACAAAACUAUUAAAACUUUCAACAACGGAUCUCUUGGUUCUGGCAUCGAUGAAGAACGCAGC
Molecule: unclassified non-coding RNA, 279 nt
Filed under: uncultured fungus
Lineage: Eukaryota; Fungi
Description: partial contains small subunit ribosomal RNA, internal transcribed spacer 1, and 5.8S ribosomal RNA
Rfam family: Eukaryotic small subunit ribosomal RNA (bases 1-73)
Source: RNAcentral